UCAGUCUUAUGAGGCAGAAAGUAAAGAAGGGUGCCUCAUGGCAUUGGACCUUGUUAGGAAUGAGUUUUAUGAUGUGCGCAACAAACUACAAACAAUGAUUCAGCUGGGGCAGCAGAUCACGGCCAUGGGUCCUCAGUAGUAGCAACUGAAGCAAAAGGAUCAUGGCCCCAUAUGAUCCCUAUCAUGAUGGGGUGUAUGUAUCGCUAAAGAUGUUCAAGUGGUGUCUGGGUUUGGAGGGCGUGCUCGUAACCCUGUGAAAGACACUUGUUGUCAUGUGUGUUAAUGUUUGUGUCUGUCAACUCUAUGUACCUUGUGUGUCAUGGAUUAUUUGGUCGGUUGUUUGUUGGUGACAUGAAUAUCUCUCUCUC
Molecule: long non-coding RNA, 368 nt
Organism: Triticum dicoccoides
Lineage: Eukaryota; Viridiplantae; Streptophyta; Magnoliopsida; Poales; Poaceae
Exons: 3
Source: RefSeq, a predicted model, not a curated record